Molecule: long non-coding RNA, 706 nt
Organism: Daphnia pulicaria
Lineage: Eukaryota; Metazoa; Arthropoda; Branchiopoda; Diplostraca; Daphniidae
Exons: 3
Source: RefSeq, a predicted model, not a curated record
CGCAGACAGAACAUAUUGGCAGAAGGUUUAUAUUCUUCUCUUUCUCUUCUUCCAGUGUAUACAUAUAACAACAGAAUAGACAAAAGCGGCUGAAGGGUUUUAAAAAAUCCCCGGGUUUAUUGUUUUUUUUUUGGCAUUUGAAAUAAAAGCGGGAAAAUGAACGGAAGAGAAAUAAAAAGAGCGGGAAUAUAGGAGACUUAACUAUAAUUUGAAUUUGUUUGAUUUUUCUCAUUGAUGCAAAAAUCUAUAAAGAUUUCAAACUGGCCCCGAGGGUAUCUGAGCUGCUGGAAAAAAGUUGCUGCUGCUGCUGCGCUAUGUAUUUUAUGGCCCACUGCUGAUUUAGGAAGUUUAUUUCUCGCUGGAUUUUCGUUAUUUGUUUAAAUAGUUUAUAGCUGUUGAGAAAACCGCCUACUCUCCCGCGCGCCCAGUCACAACAUGCAGCACCAAAAACUUUUGUCUGUAUACGGCGCCAGCACAUCAGGUGCUGCUGCUGUGUCUCAUUUCCUAUAUCUUUUGCUCUGAUGCGUAUAGCUUAAACCUUUCUACAGCGGCGCUAUAUGCAAGCGCCAGGUACGCGCUAUGUAGAAGCGCAUUUCGUGCCCAAGGCAUUUUUCGUGUGAGCGUGUCCUUUUUACAAAGUUUUAUUAUAACUCACGCUCCCUCAUCCUAUAUCUUUCUAUGCGCAUUUUGGACUAUUAUAAUAUGC